CCUACGGGUGGCAGCAGUGGGGGAUAUUGCACAAUGGGGGGAACCCUGAUGCAGCGACGCCGCGUGGGUGAAGAAGCGCCUCGGCGCGUAAAGCCCUGUCAGCAGGGAAGAAAAUGACGGUACCUGAAGAAGAAGCCCCGGCUAACUACGUGCCAGCAGCCGCGGUAAUACGGAGGGGGCAAGCGUUAUCCGGAUUUACUGGGGGUAAAGGGGGCGCAGACGGCAGUGCAAGUCAGGAGUGAAAGCCCGGGGCUUAACCCCGGAACUGCUUUUGAAACUGUGUGGCUGGAGUGCAGGAGAGGUAGGCGGAAUUCCUGGUGUAGCGGUGAAAUGCGUAGAGAUCAGGAGGAACACCGGUGGCGAAGGCGGCCUGCUGGACUGCAACUGACGUUGAGGCCCGAAAGCGUGGGGAGCAAACAGGAUUAGAUACCCCUGUAGUC
RNAcentral lists this ribosomal RNA (440 nucleotides) under uncultured bacterium. RNAcentral's name for it is "partial 16S ribosomal RNA". It matches the Rfam family "Bacterial small subunit ribosomal RNA", at positions 338 to 795 of the family's 1533-position model. The record is from RNAcentral.